UGGCGUGCAGUUUUCUCUACUUCAGGGUCGAAAAUCAAUUCGCCUGUACGAGAAGAACGAUGCAUAAAUUAGAAAAAAUAUCAGAAAAUUAAAAUAAAAUAAAACUUACAAAGAAACAAAUAAUUAACGCUAGUCCCCGACAACGGCGCCAAAAAUUGACACCUGUGCAAUAAUAAUAAUAAAACCUAACUACCACCAAAAGCAGUCAAUAAUCAAUUCUAGUUACUAGAGUAGGAACUCUAGGUGUGCAAUAGGUCACUUGAUUCACCCUAUUCUCAAAGAAUUUGUUUAAUCCGAUAUACCAUAAUGAAUUAGCUAACAAAUUUUACUAACAAAUAGAUAGUGGCAAGUAGGAUCGUCUCCUCGGGGAUUUGGGAUAUUUGUCUCUUUGAAGUUCCAAUUGGCAAUAAGGGAUUUUUGUCGAAAUAAGAGUAAGAGAAAUUAAACAAUUCAACCAAAAAUAAAUAAUUAACUAAAACGACCAUAGAUAAGAAUUAAAUCAAUAAAAGACAAACUCUAACCAAGAAUACAACAUCUCAGACACAAUCCGCUCAUCCGAUCAUUAAUGCAAGGGAGGUUCACCUAAUUUAUUAAUAGGUUAGUUAUAGUUACCAACGAGUUUUGACGACCAAUUUUUUCUUAAUUUAUUUAUAACCAAAGUACGACCAUUGAUUACCCCUAAUCAGAAAAUACUCCUAAAUACGACCAUAGGAAUUAAUUUCCUAAUUACAUUAAGAACUAGAAAAACCUAAUCCCAAUCAAUAACACGUUACGAGGGUUAUUUAAAUCAGAUUGCACGUUCCUAAUGUAUAAAAAUGCUAUUUGCCACUGAUAUUAAUCAAUUUAAACAAUUAUGAAUUUAAUUGACUAAUUUGGCAGGAGUUUAAUAAGUCGCAUUGAACAUUGGACCCUUGACAUCCAAUUAACAAAGUAAUCUCACGAAAAUUCAAGCAGAUAACGUGCAAAUAUUAACAAAUUAAGGAACGCAUGAAAAUUAAUUCGAUCUCACAAAUAUUCAGAAUUGCGUCGUCGCGUUGAUCCUUGACUAGAUGAAAAACUUAGCCACGCCGUAUAAGUAAACUCCACGUAAAUUAAUUGAUUCACAAGACAUCAGGCUUUUCACUAGAUAAUCAAGAAGUAAAAGAUGUUUCUUCAGUUAGGAAUAUUGUCGAACACCAGGAAUGCAUGAAAAGAAAAGACGCAACUGUCCUAUCUCUAAGCAAUGACUAAAUCUCCUAUCCCUACGUGGUCCUUGCCGAAAAUCAGAAGAAAAGACAAGGCCCUACUCAAUGUUUUUUUUUUACCAUUUCCUCUUGCUAAUAAGACUCCCUCAUACAAGUCAUGUCUUCAUCAGCAAAGGAAAAUGAAGUCUGUUGCUUCGUACUCUGUGGGCCAGGUUUGUGCAGCUUUUAGAAGUCUUCCACGUGUGGAGCAAUUUUUUCCAGAAGGUCUCCAUUUUUUUAGCACUUUUCAGUUCCACUUCCUGUAGAUUGGUCCAAAUACCAAAUAUAAGUAUAUGUUAACAAUUAGGCAAUAUUUGGCAAGAACAAAGAGGAAAAUUAACAAUAAAGUUACUAACAAUUAACACCCUAACAGAAAGAAAGCAACCAAUAGUUGCAGUCUCUUUAUAGUUUGAACCAGAGGAACUAGGCUGUGCAAGGCAGAGCCUUGGCCCUCCUAAAAAUAUUGAUCAUUGGAAAAGCAUAUAUAACAAAUCUAGUUGCAAAAUAGGUACAUAAUAUCAUAAUUACCAUUCAUAGAUAGCUGUCAAUAAUUUCAGUAGCAGUUACACACCUUUUAGUACAAUUAAGUCCCAAGUAGAGAUACAUAAUGCAUGCUAAUAGUUACAUAAUAUCAUAUAUUAGGAUUCAUUGACUUCUAGUCAUAGAGAGAAUGUUAAUGGAUUCUAAUAUGAUGGCAAAAGAUAGUAUGCUAGAAGUUUAGUAGUAUCCAUGAUGAACAAAAGAGAACAUGAAGCUGUGUGACUACUUCAUUUUGCAGAUUCACGGGGCUUCUUGAGAGGGCUCAUAUGAGCAGAUUUUGAAGAUGCAGGCUUGUUGUCUUCAGGACCAUUUUUUCCAGCAAUUGAGAGAAGGCUUUUACUCUUCAUAACAGAAAGAAAACCAUUAACUACAUCAUGUAUCUCACAAUCAUGUAAAAAUGAAACAGAUAGCAAUUAAUAUGCCUGAAGCUUAAAAUUUUUUAACAUGAGACAUACAACCUGUAAUAUAAUCAACAGCAGAUAAAUCCAAAUCCUUUAGACCAAAAAAAAAAGCAGCACAAAAUUUAGUUUCUUAGACAAACCUGAGAGCUGUAUAUGCCAACUUGUUGGAGCAAAAGAUGCACACCAAAUAGAAUAGCCAGCUUCAGUUGAAGAAACAGGUCAACAUUUUGUAAGCAUAGGCAAAAAAAAAAAGCAAAAUCAGUAUAAGAAAAGGAAGAAUAAAGAUUCACAAUGAAAAAGAAAAUUGAAGAAUUACAAUAGCAGUGCUAUUGUUUAGUUAUGAUCUAGAAGUAUAAAAAUAUGUUUUCAAGUAAAGUAAGUACAUUGUGAGAAGAAAAUCAACCAAAUUAAUCAAUAAUGGUCUUAUAACUCUCAUUAUUGAUCUGUUUACUAUUAUGUUAAGUUUUACUGCUAGUGAAAAUAUAGUCAAAUGAUCUGAGCCUAAAACAUUGUCUGGAUAAGCUGUUUACUAAUAUUGUUAUAUAAUGGUGAAAACCUGAAAAAAAAAAAAAAAAAAACCUUGAUCCUAUAAGGUUAUGAAGACAUGUCUAUCUGUGGUAGAAGUGAUAGUUUGCAGAUUUAGAGACUCUAAGGUCAGGGCAUUUAUGAACCAUUAACAAAUUCUUAAUGACAAUUUUAGUUUUUAUUGUUGAUAGGAAGUUAACGUGGCCAUGGUCUCCUAUAUCCCUGUAUAUGGCUGAAGUUGUAGCUAUUUCCUAAGUUGCUAUAAUACAUGGCUUCUACAUGGAUGUUUAGUUAAUUAAUAAGCAGACUGAUAAAUCUGUUUUUUAAGGAGAGGCCAAAGAAAAAGUGCAAUGGAAAAUAAUUAAGUAUACAGGUUCUUCAUGGAGCAUAAUCUUAAGUGACUGUAGUUUCUGCAGUAGUAUUUUUUAUUCAUGAUAUAUGUAGUUUUUGCACCAUAACCUACCAAAAUUUGAUUUACAAGAAAUUUCUUGAAAGGGAACGAAAAUUUGUCAACAAAUAUUGAAAAAGCAACAUCCUUUUUUUCAGAAAAAAAUAAAAGUAUCAAUUCCAAUAUCUUAAAUAAAGUUAAGAGGUUGGUAUCAAUGGCAAGAAGUGCACUUUAUCUAAACGAAACUGAUAAUCAAGAUAUCUAAGCUUCAAAAUUGGCCGAAAAUGAAAACUCAAAAAGCUAAUUGAACAGCUAACCCAAACACAACUGCAAAAGGAACAAAAAAGAAUACAUGCAAUGCAAAUUAAAUAGGAAAAAGAAAAGAAGAAUAAACCUGAUUAAGUGAAGUAUUAUAUCGAAUUACAGAUCGAAUUACAGGAGCAAAAAAAAUCGUUUGAAGUAUUACAAAUGAAAAGGACCCUUACCAAAGCUAGAGGCAGAAGAAGCUCCCUUCCAAACGCAAGGUCUUCAGAGAAAGAUAUACACCCUGUAUAUGGGCACUUCCCUUUCUUUUCCUUUUUAAAACCUAAAAACCUAAAUUACUACUCACUUAAUGUCUAUCACAUCAAAUCCCUGAAAAUAUGAUUUAGAAUUACGGUGUUCAUGGGAAAAUUGGAUGGCUGCAAAACCAAUUCCAGUACAAAUGAAAGAAAUCAAACGACUGGCCACUUUUGUGGGGAAAAAUCCCUGAAUUUUGGGGAAAAAGAAGACACCUAAUCUUUGAGGGAUUUCAAGCCUUCCAUGCUUCCAAGUACAAUAAGCAUGUGAAGGAGCCAUCUCAGCUACAGGAAGGGAAGAGUACUUGCUAGUACUUUCACCCGAAGAAGAAGAAAAGAAGAGAUGCUGGUUUCUUGUUUGUCUGAAGUGCUUGAAAUGAAAUGGGCCGGUUGUCUGAAGUGUUCGUCUGAAGUGGUUGAAAUGAAAUGGGUCCUAUUGGUUCUAUUACAAUGUAACGGGCAAUGGAAUAUCUUCUUGCUGGUUCCGUUGGUUUC
Molecule: long non-coding RNA, 4129 nt
Filed under: Coffea arabica (coffee)
Lineage: Eukaryota; Viridiplantae; Streptophyta; Magnoliopsida; Gentianales; Rubiaceae
Description: long non-coding RNA (CARA_LNC005010)
Source: RNAcentral